This is a non-coding RNA of Papio anubis (olive baboon), 65 nucleotides long. The record is from Rfam. NCBI's taxonomy places the organism in Eukaryota, Metazoa, Chordata, Mammalia, Primates, Cercopithecidae.
UAAUGUUACAGCUUGUUUAGAAUUUGUCUAGCAGGCCUUCUGGUUUUUGCAGGAAACGUACCCCC